AAGUCGUAACAAGGUUUCCGUAGGUGAACCUGCGGAAGGAUCAUUAACAGAUUCUGCUAGCCAGAUAUCUUACCCCGUGUGAACUGUUCUUUAGACUUGGUGCUCAAGACUCGCAGGGUCUACCCGUCAGAGGGGUCUCGCGAAGGCUGUAAAAGGCUAACGCGGUACCAUUCUGGAGGGGCUCUGGAGCCUAGGCACCGCCAUUUUUACCCUCUAACUUUGAAUGCCGAGUAACUAAACAAAAGACUAGAAAACUUUUAGCAACGGAUCUCUAGGCUCUU
This 281-nucleotide unclassified non-coding RNA is filed under the name fungal sp. RNAcentral describes it as "partial internal transcribed spacer region". The stretch from base 1 to 46 matches the Rfam family "Eukaryotic small subunit ribosomal RNA", at positions 1786 to 1831 of the family's 1831-position model. Lineage: Eukaryota; Fungi. The record is from RNAcentral.